UAACAACAUGGAGAGUUUGAUCCUGGCUCAGGAUGAACGCUGGCGGUCUGCUUAACACAUGCAAGUCGAACGGAGUGCUUCGGCACUUAGUGGCGGACGGGUGAGUAACGCGUGAGAAUCUGCCUUCAGGUUGGGGACAACAGUUGGAAACGACUGCUAAUACCCAAUGUGCCGAGAGGUGAAAGCUUUAGUGCCUGAGGAUGAGCUCGCGUCUGAUUAGCUAGUUGGAGUGGUAAUGGCACACCAAGGCGACGAUCAGUAGCUGGUCUGAGAGGAUGAUCAGCCACACUGGGACUGAGACACGGCCCAGACUCCUACGGGAGGCAGCAGUGGGGAAUUUUCCGCAAUGGGCGCAAGCCUGACGGAGCAAGACCGCGUGAGGGAGGAAGGCUCUUGGGUUGUAAACCUCUUUUAUCAGGGAAGAAGAUCUGACGGUACCUGAUGAAUCAGCAUCGGCUAACUCCGUGCCAGCAGCCGCGGUAAUACGGAGGAUGCAAGCGUUAUCCGGAUUUAUUGGGCGUAAAGCGUCCGCAGGUGGUUUUACAAGUCUGCUGUUAAAGCGCGAGGCUUAACCUCGUACAGGCAGUGGAAACUGUGAGACUAGAGUAUGGUAGGGGUAGCGGGAAUUCCCAGUGUAGCGGUGAAAUGCGUAGAUAUUGGGAAGAACACCAGCGGCGAAAGCGCGCUACUGGGCCAUUACUGACACUCAUGGACGAAAGCUAGGGGAGCGAAAGGGAUUAGAUACCCCUGUAGUCCUAGCUGUAAACGAUGGAUACUAGGUGUUGCCCGUAUCGACCCGGGCAGUGCCGUAGCUAACGCGUUAAGUAUCCCGCCUGGGGAGUAUGCACGCAAGUGUGAAACUCAAAGGAAUUGACGGGGGCCCGCACAAGCGGUGGAGUAUGUGGUUUAAUUCGAUGCAACGCGAAGAACCUUACCAGGGCUUGACAUGUCGCGAAUCCCGGUGAAAGUCGGGAGUGCCUUCGGGAGCGCGAACACAGGUGGUGCAUGGCUGUCGUCAGCUCGUGUCGUGAGAUGUUGGGUUAAGUCCCGCAACGAGCGCAACCCUCGUUUUUAGUUGCCAGCAUUUAGUUGGGCACUCUAGAGAGACUGCCGGUGACAAACCGGAGGAAGGUGGGGAUGACGUCAAGUCAGCAUGCCCCUUACGUCCUGGGCUACACACGUACUACAAUGCUACGGACAAAGGGUUGCGAGCUAGCGAUAGCAAGCUAAUCCCAUAAACCGUGGCUCAGUUCAGAUUGCAGGCUGCAACUCGCCUGCAUGAAGGAGGAAUCGCUAGUAAUCCCAGGUCAGCAUACUGGGGUGAAUACGUUCCCGGGCCUUGUACACACCGCCCGUCACACCAUGGGAGUUGGCCACGCCCGAAGUCGUUACUCCAACCGCUUGCGGAGGAGGAUGCCGAAGGCAGGGCUGAUGACUGGGGUGAAGUCGUAACAAGGUAGCCGUACCGGAAGGUGUGGCUGGAUCACCUCCUUUUAG
RNAcentral lists this ribosomal RNA (1497 nucleotides) under uncultured Leptolyngbya sp. RNAcentral's name for it is "SSU rRNA". It matches the Rfam family "Bacterial small subunit ribosomal RNA". Lineage: Bacteria; Bacillati; Cyanobacteriota; Cyanophyceae; Leptolyngbyales; Leptolyngbyaceae. The record is from RNAcentral.